AAGUCGUAACAAGGUUUCCGUAGGUGAACCUGCGGAAGGAUCAUUAUCGAGAGAGGGGCUUCGCGCUCCCGGGGGUUUCGGCCCCCAACUCUUCACCCAUUGUCAAUUUACCCUUGUUGCUUUGGCGGAUUCCGGGGGUAUGCUUGCUGCUGAUGUUAGUUUCGAUCAAUCCGAACCGUGCGAGAUGUGCCCCGGCGCCCGCCGGAGGCCCAUUAAAAUCUGUUUAUCAGUGAUGUCCGAGUAAAAAACCAAUAAUAAAA
This 260-nucleotide unclassified non-coding RNA is filed under the name plant metagenome. RNAcentral's name for it is "partial contains small subunit ribosomal RNA and internal transcribed spacer 1". The stretch from base 1 to 46 matches the Rfam family "Eukaryotic small subunit ribosomal RNA", at positions 1786 to 1831 of the family's 1831-position model. The record is from RNAcentral.